RNAcentral lists this ribosomal RNA (447 nucleotides) under uncultured bacterium. RNAcentral describes it as "partial 16S ribosomal RNA". It matches the Rfam family "Bacterial small subunit ribosomal RNA", at positions 329 to 793 of the family's 1533-position model. The record is from RNAcentral.
AGCCAGACUCCUACGGGAGGCAGCAGUGGGGAAUAUUGCACAAUGGGGGAAACCCUGAUGCAGCGACGCCGCGUGAGUGAGGAAGUAUUUCGGUAUGUAAAGCUCUAUCAGCAGGGAAGAAAAUGACGGUACCUGACUAAGAAGCCCCGGCUAACUACGUGCCAGCAGCCGCGGUAAUACGUAGGGGGCAAGCGUUAUCCGGAUUUACUGGGUGUAAAGGGAGCGUAGACGGCAUGGCAAGUCAGAUGUGAAAGCCCGGGGCUCAACCCCGGGACUGCAUUUGAAACUGUCAGGCUGGAGUGCAGGAGAGGUAAGUGGAAUUCCUAGUGUAGCGGUGAAAUGCGUAGAUAUUAGGAGGAACACCAGUGGCGAAGGCGGCUUACUGGACUGUAACUGACGUUGAGGCUCGAAAGCGUGGGGAGCAAACAGGAUUAGAUACCCGCGUAC